AUUGAACGCUGGCGGCAGGCCUAACACAUGCAAGUCGAACGGUAACAGGAAGCAGCUUGCUGCUUUGCUGACGAGUGGCGGACGGGUGAGUAAUGUCUGGGAAACUGCCUGAUGGAGGGGGAUAACUACUGGAAACGGUAGCUAAUACCGCAUAACGUCGCAAGACCAAAGAGGGGGACCUUCGGGCCUCUUGCCAUCAGAUGUGCCCAGAUGGGAUUAGCUUGUUGGUGGGGUAACGGCUCACCAAGGCGACGAUCCCUAGCUGGUCUGAGAGGAUGACCAGCCACACUGGAACUGAGACACGGUCCAGACUCCUACGGGAGGCAGCAGUGGGGAAUAUUGCACAAUGGGCGCAAGCCUGAUGCAGCCAUGCCGCGUGUAUGAAGAAGGCCUUCGGGUUGUAAAGUACUUUCAGCGGGGAGGAAGGUGCUGUGGUUAAUAACCGCAGCAAUUGACGUUACCCGCAGAAGAAGCACCGGCUAACUCCGUGCCAGCAGCCGCGGUAAUACGGAGGGUGCAAGCGUUAAUCGGAAUUACUGGGCGUAAAGCGCACGCAGGCGGUCUGUUAAGUCAGAUGUGAAAUCCCCGGGCUCAACCUGGGAACUGCAUCUGAUACUGGCAGGCUUGAGUCUCGUAGAGGGGGGUAGAAUUCCAGGUGUAGCGGUGAAAUGCGUAGAGAUCUGGAGGAAUACCGGUGGCGAAGGCGGCCCCCUGGACGAAGACUGACGCUCAGGUGCGAAAGCGUGGGGAGCAAACAGG
Molecule: ribosomal RNA, 759 nt
Filed under: uncultured Enterobacteriaceae bacterium
Lineage: Bacteria; Pseudomonadati; Pseudomonadota; Gammaproteobacteria; Enterobacterales; Enterobacteriaceae
Description: bacterial SSU rRNA
Rfam family: Bacterial small subunit ribosomal RNA
Source: RNAcentral